GGUCCCAUCGUCUAGUGGUCCAGGACACUGGCCUCUCACGCCGGUAACACGGGUUCGAAUCCCGUUGGGACCACCA
This 76-nucleotide transfer RNA is filed under the name Nitrospirota bacterium. RNAcentral describes it as "Nitrospirae bacterium (groundwater metagenome) tRNA-Glu". It matches the Rfam family "tRNA". Rfam says of the family: Transfer RNA (tRNA) molecules are approximately 80 nucleotides in length. Their secondary structure includes four short double-helical elements and three loops (D, anti-codon, and T loops). The record is from RNAcentral. Lineage: Bacteria; Pseudomonadati; Nitrospirota.